GUCUGGACGCUUUGGCGAAGGCAGGACUGGAUAUUUGGAUUACAGAAUUAGACAUUGACGAAGCAGACGAAACAAGAAAAAGACAGAAAUACGAAGAAGUCUUGAGAGUUUACUUCAGUCACCCUGCUGUAAAAGGGGUUAUGUUCUGGGGAUUCUGGGAUGGACGACAUUGGAGACCUGCUGCUGCUCUUGCUAAUGGUCCUAGCGUUACGCCAAAUGCAGCGGGGAGAAGAGUACAGAAAUUACUGAAACAUACGUGGAGAACAAAUGAAUCUCAUAGUAUAGCGCAUGGGCAGUCAGUUAAAAUACGCGGAUUCAUGGGAUCUUAUAAACUACUAGUUCGCCAUGCAGGACAAGUUAUUCAUACAGAGGAUUUUAAUCUUGGAAAAGGUGGAAACAGUUUGAAAAUAAACGUCAAGGGCUUGGGUACUCACCCACAAGUGGAUCAUGUUAUCAUUGGGUGAACAACAACAUUGGACACAUUUGACAUAAUUAUUGAUAAAUAAAAAGAUGA
Molecule: long non-coding RNA, 514 nt
Organism: Patella vulgata (common limpet)
Lineage: Eukaryota; Metazoa; Mollusca; Gastropoda; Patellidae
Exons: 3
Source: RefSeq, a predicted model, not a curated record